CAGCAGCAGCCGCGGUAAAACGUAGGUGGCAAGCGUUGUCCGGAAUUAUUGGGCGUAAAGGGCUCGCAGGCGGUUUCUUAAGUCUGAUGUGAAAGCCCCCGGCUCAACCGGGGAGGGUCAUUGGAAACUGGGAAACUUGAGUGCAGAAGAGGAGAGUGGAAUUCCACGUGUAGCGGUGAAAUGCGUAGAGAUGUGGAGGAACACCAGUGGCGAAGGCGACUCUCUGGUCUGUAACUGACGCUGAGGAGCGAAAGCGUGGGGAGCGAACAGGAUUAGAGACCCCUGUAGUCCCUGUCUCUUAUAC
RNAcentral lists this ribosomal RNA (304 nucleotides) under uncultured bacterium. Its description in RNAcentral is "partial 16S ribosomal RNA". It matches the Rfam family "Bacterial small subunit ribosomal RNA", at positions 506 to 807 of the family's 1533-position model. The record is from RNAcentral.